CCUACGGGCGGCUGCAGUGAGGAAUAUUGGUCAAUGGGCGGGAGCCUGAACCAGCCAAGCCGCGUGAAGGAAGAAGGCGCCAGGCGUCGUAAACUUCUUUUGUCGGGGAACAAAGGGCGCCACGCGUGGCGUUGUGAGUGUACCCGAAGAAAAAGCAUCGGCUAACUCCGUGCCAGCAGCCGCAGUAAUACGGAGGAUGCGAGCGUUAUCCGGAUUUAUUGGGUUUAAAGGGUGCGUAGGCGGUCGGGAAAGUCAGCGGUAAAAGGGCGGGGCUCAACCCCGGCCAGCCGUUGAAACGGCGGGUCUAGAGUGGGCGAGAAGGACGGGGAAUGGGGGGUGUAGCGGUGAAAUGCAUAGAGAUCGCGCAGAACUCCGAUUGCGAGGGCAGCGUACCGGCGCCGGACUGACGCUGAGGCACGAAAGGGUGGGUAUCGAACAGGAUUAGAUACCCGAGUAGUC
RNAcentral lists this ribosomal RNA (459 nucleotides) under uncultured bacterium. RNAcentral describes it as "partial 16S ribosomal RNA". It matches the Rfam family "Bacterial small subunit ribosomal RNA", at positions 338 to 795 of the family's 1533-position model. The record is from RNAcentral.